Molecule: non-coding RNA, 759 nt
Organism: Paramuricea clavata
Lineage: Eukaryota; Metazoa; Cnidaria; Anthozoa; Malacalcyonacea; Plexauridae
Source: the annotation of a GenBank genome assembly
GAGGCAUUUAUGCAAUUCAUUGAUCAUAAUUGUAUUACAUUUGAAAACAUUUCAUCAUUAAGUUACAUCAUUAAUCUACAUGCAUUAACCAAUACUGAUGUUGUGCAUGAGUGUUGUGGUCAUUGAGACCCUAUAUAGUCUAAAUCACUAGUGAAGCAGUUUCGAUUAAUCAGUUCAGGUGCAUACUAUAAAAAGUUUGACUUUCAUUUGUCCGUAAUUAUUCGAUUCCAGAAAACACACAGUCCGUCACAAAGCGACCUCUCUUAGCCGGAAUUCUUCCAAAUCGAUGCCGUAACCGUCCAGGAAAUACGGCUGCCAAAAAAGCUACCUUUGGCAUAAGCAUAAACUUUGGCGUUUGAGCUCCCUCGAGUCCAACUUAAAGUUGCGUAACCACUUCCCCUGUGUAUACGAUGAUGCAAAGAAACAUGAAAAGCUCCUUUCGGAACAUGGUAGUUGAAAGUUCGACCGUAUGUUCCCCAGCCGGUUCUAAGAUGUCCUGAGCCCAAAGUUAUACGAGCUAAGUACGUACGGGACGUUCCCGCCUCGAUAGUCGCUGCAAUGCAGAUCAACAAAAGCACGGCAAGGACUGAUUUGUGAGCCAUUUUCUUGAGAGCGCACCAAAUUGAAAAUUUGAAAUCGACUUGGUUAUUGAUUCUUCAAAUCUUCUGCACUGUUGAAAUCGCUGUUGUCAAUUUUGAAACUGGUCCAAUCCUACCGGUCUUUAUAUAAGCUUUCUCUUGCAGAUAUUGUGAAAAACAG